RNAcentral lists this long non-coding RNA (7598 nucleotides) under Physcomitrium patens. RNAcentral describes it as "long non-coding RNA (PPAT_LNC010999)". Lineage: Eukaryota; Viridiplantae; Streptophyta; Bryopsida; Funariales; Funariaceae. The record is from RNAcentral.
UUAUUAGAUUAACCCAAUAAAUUUCAUUCACUCCGCAUACUCAAUCCUAUAGACACCCUUUUAAUCCUUCAAUCACAGACAUAACUCGAUUUCAUAAAACAGUCAAAAGUAUUCAAACACACUUCAUUUAAAAAUCUCGAUUCACCAUUACAACACUGACUUCAGCAGCGAUUACCUCAGUCUUCCCCAAAACUCUACGAAGAAGAAAAAUCCAAAUCCUAUGUCUUUCCUUCCCUGACCCAAAGCAUGAAGCUCCUCUCUCUAAUUCCCUUGAUCUUCAAAAAACCCCCAAUGAAAAACCGAACUGGUAACCUUGCAGAAGCUUGAAAAACUAGCUCCCCCCUCGAUUUCCCUCAAAAGAAAAUUAUCCCCUCUUAAAACUAUAUCCCCCCUAACCUUAUCCUCUGAAUUUCUUCAAUCUUCCGUCUUAGAUCCGGAAUUGGCUCCCACGUCAAGCUUGGAUCCGAAAUUGGCUCUCGCCGUCAAGCUUCCUCCUCCGUUUUUACCUUUAAGAAAUCCAUUUACCGAAAACAACGUUCCCUGAAACGGCACAGAGAACAGGACAGCCUGAAACAGAAUCGAAUCCCGUAAUCGGGACCACAUUGAGUCGCCCGACCAAUUCAGGUCUUAUAUUGGAAAUGAUACCCGUAGUAACUUGGAUGUUCCCGUAAUUGGGUCAAAUUGGUCCUCGCGUCAGAUUGACUAAGACCCGUAGUAAGACCUGGAUUUCCCGUAACUAGGUCAAAUUGGUCCUCGCGUCAGAUUGGCUAAGACCCGUAGUAAGACCUGGAUUUCCCGUAAUUAGACUGCACUGCAUUGACCGGCAAAUUCAAGUCUCAUAUUGGAUAAGAGGACCCGGAUUGGAUUAUCGAAAUUGGAUCCAAUUGGCUCCUCGAACCCGUCGUGUGAAUUGGUCCUUCUCUUCCUGCUGACUCCCGUUAUUGGAAUCGAAUGGGGCAUUUCAGUAUGCCCCGGCUGAUUGUAACAUAGUCACUGAACCUGACCACUCAGUAUUUGUCUUGGAGUUGGUCGAUGUUCCCAAUAUUCAAGGUAACUGAAUAUUAAUAAAAUUCCCCUUUCUUUUUAAUUUCACUGUAUAAUCGUGUUACAACACGACAUCCACCCCCUCUGAACCUGUGCAUCCUCCGAUAUGCACCAAUUUACCCAAUCGCUGUUUGAUUCAGAAUAUAUCUCCUACGUCUUUGUCUAGUUCGUCUUCGUCACCUUCAUUAUUCAUAUCACUUUCAUCUUCUUGCUGCGGAAUCUCUAUACCUUCAUUAAGGUCUUCAAUAUUCAUCUCUGCGUGUCUUCGUUUAAAUAUUUUUACUCGCUUCCCUGCAAUUGGUAUUUUCAAUUUUGUACCAUCUAACUCCCGUAAUGAGUAAGUCGCAUUAUCAUGAACAGUUGUUACAACAUAUGGUCCAAACCAACGUUUUGAAAAUUUCCGCAAAGUACUAUGUUGAUUAUCCAGACUAUUGUCAUAAACAAGUACCCAGUCACCUUCCUCGAUUGCUUUUGGUCUCAAUCAAUGUUGCUUAUCGAAUCAUGCCUUGUUUUGUAACCUUGCUCUAUUUAACCUUUCCAAUGCUAUCUGGACAUCUUCCGUUCUUUGUUCCAAUUGUCGAAUCCUAAUAGCCAGAAGUUCUUAUCUUGUCAAUCUAACUUCCCAUGGUAGCAUACUCCAAGUAAGUACCUUUUCUUCAAUCGGCAUAAUUGGUUUUUGAACUGUCAUAAGUUCUACUGGCAUAUAUCCUGUCACCGAACUAUAUGUUGUUCGAUCAGCCCAUAAUGCAAAUGACAAAAGCCGUGGCCACUCUUUAACCUUCCCAUUACAAGCUUUAAUCAAUGCUUUCACAAUCGGUGGGUGACCGCGUUCGCUUUUCGCAUUCCCUUCCGGAUUAUAAGCAAUAGUCAGCGAUAGUUUAACUCCACAUCUUUCAAAGAACUUACGAGCUUCUUGUGCAUUUAAUUCUCCACGAUCUGCAGUGAUUUUUUCUACGCACCCGUAACGGCAAAUGACAUCUUCAAGCAAAAACCUACAAAUCCCCUCUGUAGAUUUUGUCCUCAAUGCUCUUCCUUCUACUUGAUUUGAUAAAUCUUCAUGAGCUAAAACCAAAUAUCUCAUCUGCCAUAAUCCAACCGGCAUAAUAACCAAAUCAACAACCCAUUUAAAAUGAAUAGCCAGAGGAUACGUAGGAUGAAGACCAUCUCGAUGUUGGAUAUUAGAAUACGAUUGACAGAUUUCACAUGACUCUACAAAUGAGAGCACAUCUCGAUACAUAUUUUUCCACCAAUAUCGUUCCUUGAGUUUAGCAAAAGUAGCCCAGAUUCCUCUAUGCCCUGCCCAUAAACUAUCAUGAAACUCCUUUAAUAAUUUUAGUUUUUCUUUCCUUUUGCCUAUCACUCGUUGUGGCAUCCCAAUUCCUUUCUUCGGUCUCUUCCAUAAGAAUCCAUCUCGAAGUAAAAAUCCAUAUGUUUUUUUUCUUAUUUGUUUGAAUUUUUCUGUAGACCAAUUCCCCUGCUUAGACAAGGUAUUCAAAUAAUGACCAAUAUCCAAUAAUUCUCCUUCAUAAGAUUCUUCAAGAAAUAGCUUGUCUUCUCUGUUGAGAUUUGAUAUUGAAUAGAAUUUCAAUCCGACAUCAUCAAUGUCUUCAACCAUUUCGUCCUCCCUCUCGUAUCUUGCUCGAGAUAGCAUGUCUGCUACGAAAUUGUCCUUUCCAGUGAUAUGCUUAAAUUCUGGAUUUAGUGACUUAAUAUAAGCAAUCCAUCUCAACAUUGCAAUAUUUGGCGUUGAACAGUUAAUAAUCAUUCCAAGCAAUGGCAAGCAAUCUGUUUCAAUUACUACUACUGCCCCAAUCAAAUAGUCCUUUUCAGCUUUCAUAGCCGAAACGACUCUCCAAAGUUCUCUUUUGACUUGCGAAUAUGCACGCUAACGAAUACUUAAAACUUUAGCCCCAAAUCGAACUGCAAAUCUACUCCCAUUCGAAUCAUCUUGACCCACCGCCCAUCCAACGGCAAUUGGACUAGCGUCUACAGUAAGAAUCACUGGUCUAUUGCACUUAUAAUCAACCUUCCUCAAUAUUGGAGGUGACAUCAAUAAUUUCUUCAAUCUUUGCAUUGCCUGAAUAUGCCUUUCUUUCCAUUCAAAUCGGUAACCCUUGCGUAACAGUUCAUAUAAUGGAUCUGCUAUGUGAGCAAAAUGAGGGAUCCAGAUUCGAUAAAAUACACAUGCACCCAAAAACCUGCGAACCUCUGUUAAAGAACCACAAUCCUCUUUCAUCCUUCCAAUUGCAUCAACUUUAGUCGGAUCUGGUUUUCUUCCGUAAGAUCCGCAUAAAUGUCCAACAAUUACAACCUCUCGCACUCCAAAUACGGACUUCAUACCCGAUAAUGUAAGAUGAACUUCUCCAAGCCGAGUUAAAAUCUUUUCACAAUCUUGUAUAUGAUCAACAACAUAUCUGCGACACCCCCUCGUAUCUAAAGUUUCAUCCUUGUCUCCUUCUCUGCACCCCUUUAUAGGAACAUCAUCCAGAAAAGGCAUAGUCUUUUCCAGGAUAAAAUCUCUCAAUACCUUAUUCAUCCCAUUCAUCAUAUGCGCAACUGAGUUGGUCGCACCUUGAGGAAGAGUGCACAUUCUAACCAAUCCAAGCGGUGUCCUCAUCGUUGUCAUAUCUCUACUUCCUUCGGCAAGUUGAAAUUGAUCAUAACCUGAAUACAAAUCACCCAUUGAAUAGAUCGCCCUUCCAGCAAACGCCUCAGCAAAUUCAUCCACAAUAGGUCCAAUUCCUGCAUUCCUAACAGUUACAGCAUUCACCGGCUGCAUAUCUUGAAUAAACCGCAGUGACCCAUUCUUCUUAGGUACCGUAAACCAUCGACUAGAAUACGGCGCAAAUGAAGGUUCUAAUAUUUUCAUCUUUAUCUUUUCUUUCAAUAGUUCCACCAAUUUAGUUAAAUGUGCCCUCGGUACUGGAAUCGGUCUUAGAUUCCAAGGUACAUGCGGUACAGUGAAGAUAACCAUAGAUGUUAUAAUAUUUGGAUCCACACACCCAAUUUCAUGAGAUUCAAAGGCAAACGAUCUACCUUGUUUAGCCAACAUCUUUUCGAAGCAAGUAAUUUCCUUCGGCAAUAAAGAACCAUCAGAACCAAUCUUCAAUUCUUCAAAAGUCUCUUUAGUAAAUUGAUGUCCAAUACUCAUUGGAUCUCUUAAACUUGGUUCUUUUGAUGCUUCUCCCAUUUUUUCUUUAGAAUCCUUUGGUAAUGGUCCGGCAACAGGCUUUAUCUUCUUAUCUGCCGUUUUAUAUCUUGUCUCUACUAUGACUUCUGGUGCUUGAAAAGAUUCAAGCAUGGUAUAAACUUCUCUCGAAUGAAUCUCAACAAUCUUAUCAUUAUCCCCUAACCCAAUAGAUGUAAUCAAUUCCAAUGAAUCUUCCAGCCCAUUUUCUUCAUAAACACCCAAAAUCCUCUCAUCAUCUUACAAUGUACCUAUCUUGCGUAACUGUCCUUCAAUAUCAUAUAAUCUUUUUCUUUCUUUCCUUUUAAAAUCAUCAACUUUCUUAUACAUAAUAUUUCCAUUCUCCAAUAUACCAAUAAAACUCGCAUCAAAGGCACCUUCAUCUCGCGAGAGUACCUCCUCUUUUGUACCUCCAUAAUCUUGCUUUACAGUGGUACAUCCCCAAAAUCCUUAAAUCCUUCAACAAUCUUUGGCAAUGGUUUCUCCCUCAACCUAUCUCGAUUCCGUUCAUGGUUAGGAGGUACUGUUAGAAAUUGUACAGCUUUCCUCCCAUCUUCGCUCCGUACCCUUGCAUAAGCAGAACCAUCGUCAAGUACCUUUGUUUCCAUCCAUGUUGUCGUGAUAUAAGGAUGUCCUAAAAUCAACGGAUGAGACGUUGUAUCUUGAAUGAAGAAAUGUUGCUCCAUCGCAACAUCCCCAAUCCGAAUUUUGACAUCUAGACAAGCUCCAUAUAAUUCACCUCGUGUAUUAUUAGCUGCUCGUAUUGCCCAUCCAUGUUCCAUAUCAAUUGGCCAUUUUUGCUUCUUAUAAAGAUCUUUAGACAUGAGAAUUAUUUCAGAACCAUGGUCCACCAAAGCAACUAUUGGUUCCUCUAUAUCUCCUACCUUCACCAAUACCUCAGUAGUUGCCCUUGCCCAAUGCUUUCGAGUAUAAUGGCUCAAUGUUUCCAUUCCCUUAUCACUAGAAUCUUCGAAACGUACUCGCUGAUUAUAGCCAUUCUUUUCAUUUGUUGGUUGCUUGUAACCAAUAUCAACCUCUUCUUCAUCUCUACAUAUUCUUGCGUCAAUAGCAUGACUCAUUCCAGUUUCGCUCAUUAAUUGCCUCUUUUGCUUAAUGCUGUCAUUGAUAACAUCAUGAAACUCCUUCUUUGCUAUUCCCAAGACUUCUUUCAAUGUGAAUUCCACCUUAGCGUUUAAUAUACGUUCUUCCAACACCCCUUUUAAAUUUGUUGCCGCUUCAAUAUCAGAAAGUAGCUUAUAAGCAAUUGAUUUGCUCUUAUCUUUUGUCUCCGUUGUUUUUUCUCCCAAUGAUGCUGAGGUAUCCUUUACAUGCAAUUCUUGUGAAGCUCCCUCUCGAGCCUUGUCUCCUCGAGUUUGCCUCUUAAAAGAAUUUCCUUCUCUAGUAUCAUCAAAAUUUCCUGGUCUUUUUUCUUCCAUCAAAGCUUCAUGUUGGCUCUUAGCAAUAUAUGCAUGAACUGAAAGAGACUCAACAGGAUCCUCCCAACCUGUUCUUCCUCGUAUUGUAGUUGCAGUUCUCAAUAAUGCUUCUCGAGGUAAUUUCCCUUCUUGCAUUGUAGAAACGGCAGAAGCCCAAAACUCACUAGUUUCCGUACUUCCAUCAAUUUCAUCAUCUACUCUAGCACCAUAACUUGCACUUUCUCGUACUACUGUUUCAUGCUCUUUUAAGUAAUCUUGAACCAAUGCUCUCAUUCCUCCCUUGCCAAAAUUGGUUUGAAGAAGAUCCUCCCUAUCUUUCAAUGCUAUCUUCCCAUCUUUCCAGCAAAUAAUUCCCUGCCGUAUCAUAUUAUUAAAUUCAUUGCAAUCUUUUCUAGUGUGUGAAGCAUCAUCACACCAAAUGCAUCUUUGUACAUAUCCUUGUUUUGAAACAUUCUUCGAAUUGUUUAUAGAAGUAUUCUCUUCAAGUCUUGCCAAUUUGAUUUGAAGAUCUCGCAUUCCUCAUAUAAUUUCUUCCAUACCCAUAUCUGCUUUCUUUGACAAGGAUGUCGAAGGUUGAACUGUAGGCAUUGUCGGUGGUGUAGUACGUACUGGAGCUUUGGGUGCUUGUACUGUUUUCGGAAUAUUGCUCCUAUCCUUCCUCCUUUCUUUUUUUGUAAGCAACCCCAUCGCAUCUUCAACGUUCUUCCACUUCGUUGUCAAUCCUUCAUCUUCUUCUUUGUCUUCAAGAAGGGAUUCUAAUUUCUCUUGUAAUUCUCCAUCAGCAGCUUGAAGAAAUAGAUCAACUUUGUUCGGCUCCAAUGUCAAUUUUUCUACCUUCGAUAAUUGAGAGUACUGCCUCUCAAAUUCCCUUAGUAGCUCUGUUGCUUGCAAAUUCUUAUUGGGCCGUUCAAUCCAUCCCAGAAACAGCUUCUUAGUAACGCGAUCACCAUCUUCCAAGAAAUAUUUGUCUUUCAAUGCAUGUGAAAAAUCCUCCCAUGAAUUCCCACAACGAUCCGUAAUUGAUGUAAUGUGGUCCCUUAUCUCUGGUAUCGUGGCAAGUCCAAAUAGUGCAACCAUUUUCUUCUCAGAAACCCGAUUUAAUUCUAUUUCACGAACAUAACAUCUUAAAUACCUUAGAAUAUUCCUCCCAUCAAAUUGAUCAAUUUUAUUGACCACUACUUGCAAUGCUUUGGUUGCCAAAGCUUCCUUUCGAUCAUUGCUUUGUUGUUGCUGCAUUGACAAUGAGAAGGCUUGAAACAAACUAGCAAUAGACGGAUCCAUGUGCAUACCUUGUCCUUAAGAAGACUCCCCACCAGCAACUUCUCCCAAAAAUCCUUCAAAAUUUUUAUUUUCGUUUUCCAUAAAAAUAAAGAUAAAAUCAACCCAAAUCCAAUACCUUCUACCUCAAGCUUUCACGUCGGGUUCACCACUUAUGUCGUAUUACGUGCUUUCCUGCUCGAGAACGCACCAGACGUAUGGCUGUAGAAGGUAGUAUGGAGAUUCGCCGAUAGUCAAGCAGUCUAUCAGUUUUUGACUACUGGAAUAUAAACGACUGCAACAAUGUACCGUAAAUCUAUACGGGUGCUCUUCGACUGCUUCUCGAAGUUCUUUUUGCCCCAGCCGGUAGGUCUCUAGACGUUACAGAGAACCCCAUACAAUUCAAACUGUUAACCUUCAAUACUACUUUGUACUUACGAUCUUGUAUCCACUGAUUGUCUUAUUAGAUUAACCCAAUAAAUUUCAUUCACUCUGCAUACUCAAUCCUAUAGACACCCUUUUAAUCCUUCAAUCACAGACAUAACUCGAUUUCACAAAACAGUCAAAAGUAUUCAAACCCACUUCAUUUAAAAAUCUCGAUUCACCAUUACAACACUGACUUCAGCAGCGAUUACCUCAGUCUUCCCCAAAACUCUACGAAGAAGAAAAAUCCA